This 451-nucleotide long non-coding RNA is filed under the name Nicotiana benthamiana. Its description in RNAcentral is "long non-coding RNA (NBEN_LNC036626)". The record is from RNAcentral. Lineage: Eukaryota; Viridiplantae; Streptophyta; Magnoliopsida; Solanales; Solanaceae.
CGAAAUAAAGCACACGUGCGAAGCACGCCUUUAUGCAACAAUCAAAUAAUAAACAUAAUUAAAAUCAAAUGAGAGCGCCAUACUCCUAAACGACAAUCAUGCCACGUAAACAAAUCAAGAGCCGUGUAUUCUAUUCAUCCAACGACUAAACCAACCACUUUUAGUCCACGCUCAAAAUCACAAACCUCUUUCCCAAGAUUUAGGUACCACUACUGAAUUCCCAUCACCAAUUUCCCGACCUUUUUUUCGUUCACCGGAAAUCAACCGCCGACAUCUUUUCCGGUGAACCCCACUUUCUUCCUGUUCACAGUACAUUCAUCUGUUCUGGUCCCCCAUAUGUGCACAAGUAUAUAACAAUACAUAAUACACAUAACCACAGACAUAUAUUCACACCGAAGCUUCCUUUUUUAUCUCCAUCUCUCUCUCUCCCCCCCCCCCCCCCCCCCCCCNN